UGCCAGACUCCUACGGGAGGCAGCAGUGGGGAAUAUUGGGCAAUGGAGGCAACUCUUACCCAGCAAUGCCGCGUGAAUGAAGAAGGUCUUCGGAUUGUAAAGUUCUUUAAUUGGGGACGAAAAAAAUGACGGUACCCAAGGAAUAAGCCCCGGCUAACUACGUGCCAGCAGCCGCGGUAAUACGUAGGGGGCAAGCGUUAUCCGGAUUUACUGGGUGUAAAGGGAGCGUAGACGGCGGUGCAAGCCAGAUGUGAAAGCCCGGGGCUCAACCCCGGGACUGCAUUUGGAACUGUGCUGCUAGAGUGUCGGAGAGGCAGGCGGAAUUCCUAGUGUAGCGGUGAAAUGCGUAGAUAUCAGGAGGAACACCGGUGGCGAAGGCGGCCUGCUGGACUGCAACUGACGUUGAGGCCCGAAAGCGUGGGGAGCAAACAGGAUUAGAUACCCCCGUA
RNAcentral lists this ribosomal RNA (449 nucleotides) under uncultured bacterium. Its description in RNAcentral is "partial 16S ribosomal RNA". It matches the Rfam family "Bacterial small subunit ribosomal RNA", at positions 329 to 792 of the family's 1533-position model. The record is from RNAcentral.